This 495-nucleotide ribosomal RNA is filed under the name uncultured bacterium. RNAcentral describes it as "partial 16S ribosomal RNA". It matches the Rfam family "Bacterial small subunit ribosomal RNA", at positions 28 to 507 of the family's 1533-position model. The record is from RNAcentral.
GACGAACGCUGGCGGCGUGCCUAAUACAUGCAAGUAGAACGCUGAAGGAGGAGCUUGCUCUUCUGGAUGAGUUGCGAACGGGUGAGUAACGCGUAGGUAACCUGCCUGGUAGCGGGGGAUAACUAUUGGAAACGAUAGCUAAUACCGCAUAACAUUGACUAUUGCAUGAUAGUCAAUUAAAAGGUGCAAAUGCACCACUACCAGAUGGACCUGCGUUGUAUUAGCUAGUUGGUGGGGUAACGGCUCACCAAGGCGACGAUACAUAGCCGACCUGAGAGGGUGAUCGGCCACACUGGGACUGAGACACGGCCCAGACUCCUACGGGAGGCAGCAGUAGGGAAUCUUCGGCAAUGGACGGAAGUCUGACCGAGCAACGCCGCGUGAGUGAAGAAGGUUGUCGGAUCGUAAAGCUCUGUUGUAAGAGAAGAACGAGUGUGAGAGUGGAAAGUUCACACUGUGACGGUAUCUUACCAGAAAGGGACGGCUAACUACGUG